RNAcentral lists this ribosomal RNA (252 nucleotides) under uncultured bacterium. RNAcentral's name for it is "partial 16S ribosomal RNA". It matches the Rfam family "Bacterial small subunit ribosomal RNA", at positions 524 to 776 of the family's 1533-position model. The record is from RNAcentral.
UACGAAGGGGGCUAGCGUUGUUCGGAAUUACUGGGCGUAAAGGGCGCGUAGGCGGUGUGUCAAGUCAGGCGUGAAAGCCCGGGCUCAACCUGGGAACCGCGCUUGAGACUGGCACGCUCGAGUUCGGGAGAGGAUGGUGGAAUUCCCAGUGUAGAGGUGAAAUUCGUAGAUAUUGGGAAGAACACCGAUGGCGAAGGCAGCCAUCUGGACCGACACUGACGCUGAGGCGCGAAAGCGUGGGGAGCAAACAGG